RNAcentral lists this ribosomal RNA (466 nucleotides) under uncultured bacterium. RNAcentral describes it as "SSU rRNA". It matches the Rfam family "Bacterial small subunit ribosomal RNA", at positions 26 to 518 of the family's 1533-position model. The record is from RNAcentral.
AGGACAAACGCUGGCGGCGUGCCUAAGACAUGCAAGUCGGACGGGGGGCUUCGGCUCCUAGUGGCGGACGGGUGAGGAGCGCGUGGAGAACCUGCCCCGGGGUGGGGGAUACCCGCCAGAAAUGGCGGUUAAGACCGCAUACGACGGCACCGUGCAGGCGGUGUUGGGAAAGCAGUGAUGUGCCCUGGGAGGGCUCCGCGUCGGAUUAGCUAGUUGGUGGGGUAACGGCCUACCAAGGCGACGAUCCGUAGCUGGUCUGAGAGGACGGCCAGCCACACUGGGACUGAGACACGGCCCAGACUCCUACGGGAGGCAGCAGUUAGGGAAUUUUGACAAUGGGCGCAAGCCUGAUCGAGUGACGCCGCGUGCGGGAUGACGCCUUUCGGGGUGUAAACCGCUUUUCCCAGGGACGAGGAGGGACGGUACCUGGGGAAGAAGUCUCGGCUAACUACGCGCCAGCAGCCGC